Molecule: ribosomal RNA, 460 nt
Filed under: uncultured bacterium
Lineage: Bacteria
Description: partial 16S ribosomal RNA
Rfam family: Bacterial small subunit ribosomal RNA
Source: RNAcentral
CCUACGGGUGGCAGCAGUGAGGAAUAUUGGUCAAUGGUCGGGAGACUGAACCAGCCAAGCCGCGUGAAGGAUGAAGGCACUGAGUAUUGUAAACUUCUUUUGUCCGGGAAUAAAGUCCGGCACGUGUCCCUUUUUGAAUGUACCUGAUGAAUAAGCAUCGGCUAACUCCGUGCCAGCAGCCGCGGUAAUACGGAGGGUUCGGGCGUUAUCCGGAUUUAUUGGGUUUAAAGGGUGCGUAGGCGGCCUGUUAAGUCUGGCGUCAAAGGCCGGGGCUCAACCCCGGCCGUGCGGUGGAAACUGGCAGUCUCGAGUUGGCGGGAGGUAUGCGGAAUGCGUGGUGUAGCGGUGAAAUGCUUAGAUAUCGCGAAGAACUCCGAUUGCGAAGGCAGCGUACCGGAGCGGCACUGACGCUGAGGCACGAAAGCGUGGGUAUCGAACAGGAUUAGAUACCCGAGUAGUC